Molecule: ribosomal RNA, 465 nt
Filed under: uncultured bacterium
Lineage: Bacteria
Description: partial 16S ribosomal RNA
Rfam family: Bacterial small subunit ribosomal RNA
Source: RNAcentral
GACGAACGCUGGCGGCGUGCUUAACACAUGCAAGUCGAACGGUAAGGCUCCAGCUUGCUGGGGUACACGAGUGGCGAACGGGUGAGUAACACGUGGGUGACCUGCCCUGCACUUCGGGAUAAGCCUGGGAAACUGGGUCUAAUACCGGAUAGGACCGCACCGUGAGGGUGUGGUGGAAAGUUUUUUCGGUGUGGGAUGGGCCCGCGGCCUAUCAGCUUGUUGGUGGGGUAAUGGCCUACCAAGGCGGCGACGGGUAGCCGGCCUGAGAGGGUGGACGGCCACAUUGGGACUGAGACACGGCCCAGACUCCUACGGGAGGCAGCAGUGGGGAAUAUUGCACAAUGGGCGGAAGCCUGAUGCAGCGACGCCGCGUGGGGGAUGACGGCCUUCGGGCUGUAAACUCCUUUCACCAUCGACGAAGGGUUUCUGACGGUAGAUGGAGAAGAAGCACCGGCUAACUACGUG